RNAcentral lists this ribosomal RNA (770 nucleotides) under uncultured bacterium. RNAcentral's name for it is "bacterial SSU rRNA". It matches the Rfam family "Bacterial small subunit ribosomal RNA", at positions 28 to 776 of the family's 1533-position model. The record is from RNAcentral.
AUUGAACGCUGGCGGCAGGCCUAACACAUGCAAGUCGAGCGGCAGCGACUUAACUGAACCUUCGGGGAACGUUAAGGGCGGCGAGCGGCGGACGGGUGAGUAAUGCCUGGGAAUAUGCCCUGAUGUGGGGGAUAACUAUUGGAAACGAUAGCUAAUACCGCAUAAUCUCUUCGGAGCAAAGAGGGGGACCUUCGGGCCUCUCGCGUCAGGAUUAGCCCAGGUGGGAUUAGCUUGUUGGUGAGGUAAUGGCUCACCAAGGCAACGAUCCCUAGCUGGUCUGAGAGGAUGAUCAGCCACACUGGAACUGAGACACGGUCCAGACUCCUACGGGAGGCAGCAGUGGGGAAUAUUGCACAAUGGGGGAAACCCUGAUGCAGCCAUGCCGCGUGUGUGAAGAAGGCCUUCGGGUUGUAAAGCACUUUCAGUAGGGAGGAAGGUAGUGUAGUUAACACCUGCAUUAUUUGACGUUACCUACAGAAGAAGCACCGGCUAACUCCGUGCCAGCAGCCGCGGUAAUACGGAGGGUGCGAGCGUUAAUCGGAAUUACUGGGCGUAAAGCGCAUGCAGGCGGCCUGUUAAGUCAGAUGUGAAAGCCCGGGGCUUAACCUCGGAAUUGCAUUUGAAACUGGCAGGCUAGAGUCUUGUAGAGGGGGGUAGAAUUUCAGGUGUAGCGGUGAAAUGCGUAGAGAUCUGAAGGAAUACCAGUGGCGAAAGGCGGCCCCCUGGACAAAGACUGACGCUCAGAUGCGAAAGCGUGGGGAGCAAACAGG